AGAGUUUGUCCUGGCUCAGGACGAACGCUGGCGGCGUGCUUAACACAUGCAAGUGGUGCGACGAACCAGGGCUUGCCCUGGGGCUAAGCCGCGAACGGGUGAGUAACACGUGAGUAAUCUGCCCCGAUGACCGGGACAACCCGAGGAAACUCGGGCUAAUACCGGAUGUGGUGCACAGGUUUAAGCUUGUGUACUAAAGGAAGCUUCGGCCUCCGCAUUGGGAGGAGCUCGCGGCCCAUUAGCUUGUUGGUGGGGUAACGGCCUACCAAGGCAACGAUGGGUAGCUGGUCUGAGAGGACGAUCAGCCACACUGGGACUGAGACACGGCCCAGACUCCUACGGGAGGCAGCAGUGGGGAAUCUUGCGCAAUGCGCGAAAGCGUGACGCAGCAACGCCGCGUGGGGGAAGACGGCCUUCGGGUUGUAAACCCCUUUCAGGAGGGACGAAGGUUCACCGGUGAAUAGCCGUGUGGAUUGACGGUACCUCCACAAGAAGCUCCGGCUAANUACGUGCCAGCCGCCGCGGUAAUUC
RNAcentral lists this ribosomal RNA (531 nucleotides) under uncultured Actinomycetes bacterium. RNAcentral's name for it is "bacterial SSU rRNA". It matches the Rfam family "Bacterial small subunit ribosomal RNA", at positions 8 to 526 of the family's 1533-position model. Lineage: Bacteria; Bacillati; Actinomycetota; Actinomycetes. The record is from RNAcentral.